UGGUGAGCCGCGAAAUAGCUCAUUCAACAGCCAUAGUUUAUUGGAUCUUCUCUCAUACUUGGAUACCUGUGGUAAUUCUAGAGCUAAUACACGCAACAAAACCCUGACUUCGGAAGGGGUGCAUUUAUUAGAACAAAACCAAUCGGACUUGUCCGUAGUUUGGUGAAUCUGAAUAACUCAGUUGAUCGCACAGUCCUUGCACUGGCGACGUAUCUUUCAAGUGUCUGCCUUAUCAACUUUCGAUGGUAGUUUAUAUGACUACCAUGGUUGUAACGGGUAACGGAGAAUAAGGGUUCGACUCCGGAGAGGGAGCCUGAGAAACGGCUACCACAUCCAAGGAAGGCAGCAGGCGCGCAAAUUACCCACUCUCAGCUCGAGGAGGUAGUGACGAAAAAUAACAAGAUGGUUCUCUAUGAGGUCCAUCAUUGGAAUGGGUACAAUUUAAACCCUUUAACGAGGAUCUAUUGGAGGGCAAGUCUGGUGCCAGCAGCCGCGGUAAUUCCAGCUCCAAUAGCGUAUAUUAAAGUUGUUGCGGUUAAAAAGCUCGUAGUUGGAUCUGCGGUCUCGCGUCCCGGUGAAUCCUCAGGGUUCUACUGGGUUCGCAGGCCUACCUCGCUGGUUUUCCCCUGGUCCUCUUCACUGAGUGCCUUGGGUGACCAGCAAGUUUACUUUGAAAAAAUUAGAGUGCUCAAAGACAGGCGCGUAGCCUGAAUCGUGGUGCAUGGAAUAAUAGAAUAGGACCUUGGUUCUAUUUUGUUGGUUUUCGGAACGCGAGGUAAUGAUUAAGAGGGACAGACGGGGGCAUUCGUAUUGCUGCGUUAGAGGUGAAAUUCUUGGAUCGCAGCAAGACGGACAACUGCGAAAGCAUUGCCAAGAAUGUUUUCAUUAAUCAAGAACGAAAGUUAGAG
RNAcentral lists this ribosomal RNA (908 nucleotides) under Paracyatholaimus sp. M1. RNAcentral's name for it is "SSU rRNA". It matches the Rfam family "Eukaryotic small subunit ribosomal RNA", at positions 80 to 995 of the family's 1831-position model. The record is from RNAcentral. Lineage: Eukaryota; Metazoa; Nematoda; Chromadorea; Chromadorida; Cyatholaimidae.